GGGUUGUGAGGUUAAGCGACUAAGCGUACACGGUGGAUGCCCUGGCAGUCAGAGGCGAUGAAGGACGUGCUAAUCUGCGAAAAGCGUCGGUAAGGUGAUAUGAACCGUUACAGCCGGCGAUGUCCGAAUGGGGAAACCCAGUGCAAUUCGUUGCACUAUCGUUAACUGAAUACAUAGGUUAACGAGGCGAACCGGGGGAACUGAAACAUCUAAGUACCCCGAGGAAAAGAAAUCAACCGAGAUUCCCCCAGUAGCGGCGAGCGAACGGGGAGCAGCCCAGAGUCUGAAUCAGCUUGUGUGUUAGUGGAACGGUCUGGAAAGUCCGACGGUACAGGGUGAUAGUCCCGUACACCAAAAUGCACAGGCUGUGAACUCGAAGAGUAGGGCGGGACACGUGGUAUCCUGUCUGAAUAUGGGGGGACCAUCCUCCAAGGCUAAAUACUCCUGACUGACCGAUAGUGAACCAGUACCGUGAGGGAAAGGCGAAAAGAACCCCGGCGAGGGGAGUGAAAAAGAACCUGAAACCGUGUACGUACAAGCAGUGGGAGCACCUUCGGGUGUGACUGCGUACCUUUUGUAUAAUGGGUCAGCGACUUAUAUUCUGUAGCAAGGUUAACCGUAUAGGGGAGCCGCAGGGAAACCGAGUCUUAACUGGGCGUUAAGUUGCAGGGUAUAGACCCGAAACCCGGUGAUCUAGCCAUGGGCAGGUUGAAGGUUGGGUAACACUAACUGGAGGACCGAACCGACUAAUGUUGAAAAAUUAGCGGAUGACUUGUGGCUGGGGGUGAAAGGCCAAUCAAACCGGGAGAUAGCUGGUUCUCCCCGAAAGCUAUUUAGGUAGCGCCUCGUGAACUCAUCUUCGGGGGUAGAGCACUGUUUCGGCUAGGGGGUCAUCCCGACUUACCAACCCGAUGCAAACUACGAAUACCGAAGAAUGUUAUCACGGGAGACACACGGCGGGUGCUAACGUCCGUCGUGAAGAGGGAAACAACCCAGACCGCCAGCUAAGGUCCCAAAGUCAUGGUUAAGUGGGAAACGAUGUGGGAAGGCACAGACAGCCAGGAUGUUGGCUUAGAAGCAGCCAUCAUUUAAAGAAAGCGUAAUAGCUCACUGGUCGAGUCGGCCUGCGCGGAAGAUGUAACGGGGCUAAACCAUGCACCGAAGCUGCGGCAGCGACACUAUGUGUUGUUGGGUAGGGGAGCGUUCUGUAAGCCUGCGAAGGUGGCCUGUGAGGGUUGCUGGAGGUAUCAGAAGUGCGAAUGCUGACAUAAGUAACGAUAAAGCGGGUGAAAAGCCCGCUCGCCGGAAGACCAAGGGUUCCUGUCCAACGUUAAUCGGGGCAGGGUGAGUCGACCCCUAAGGCGAGGCCGAAAGGCGUAGUCGAUGGGAAACAGGUUAAUAUUCCUGUACUUGGUGUUACUGCGAAGGGGGGACGGAGAAGGCUAUGUUAGCCGGGCGACGGUUGUCCCGGUUUAAGCAUGUAGGCUGAUUAUCCAGGCAAAUCCGGAUAAUCAAGGCUGAGGUGUGAUGACGAGGCACUACGGUGCUGAAGUAACAAAUGCCCUGCUUCCAGGAAAAGCCUCUAAGCAUCAGGUAACAUCAAAUCGUACCCCAAACCGACACAGGUGGUCAGGUAGAGAAUACCAAGGCGCUUGAGAGAACUCGGGUGAAGGAACUAGGCAAAAUGGUGCCGUAACUUCGGGAGAAGGCACGCUGGUGUGUAGGUGAAGUCCCUGCGGAUGGAGCUGAGACCAGUCGAAGAUACCAGCUGGCUGCAACUGUUUAUUAAAAACACAGCACUGUGCAAACACGAAAGUGGACGUAUACGGUGUGACGCCUGCCCGGUGCCGGAAGGUUAAUUGAUGGGGUUAUCCGUAAGGAGAAGCUCUUGAUCGAAGCCCCGGUAAACGGCGGCCGUAACUAUAACGGUCCUAAGGUAGCGAAAUUCCUUGUCGGGUAAGUUCCGACCUGCACGAAUGGCGUAAUGAUGGCCAGGCUGUCUCCACCCGAGACUCAGUGAAAUUGAACUCGCUGUGAAGAUGCAGUGUACCCGCGGCAAGACGGAAAGACCCCGUGAACCUUUACUAUAGCUUGACACUGAACAUUGAGCCUUGAUGUGUAGGAUAGGUGGGAGGCUUUGAAGCGUGGACGCCAGUCUGCGUGGAGCCAACCUUGAAAUACCACCCUUUAAUGUUUGAUGUUCUAACGUUGGCCCCUUACCGGGGUUGCGGACAGUGUCUGGUGGGUAGUUUGACUGGGGCGGUCUCCUCCCAAAGCGUAACGGAGGAGCACGAAGGUUAGCUAAUCCUGGUCGGACAUCAGGAGGUUAGUGCAAUGGCAUAAGCUAGCUUGACUGCGAGCGUGACGGCGCGAGCAGGUGCGAAAGCAGGUCAUAGUGAUCCGGUGGUUCUGAAUGGAAGGGCCAUCGCUCAACGGAUAAAAGGUACUCCGGGGAUAACAGGCUGAUACCGCCCAAGAGUUCAUAUCGACGGCGGUGUUUGGCACCUCGAUGUCGGCUCAUCACAUCCUGGGGCUGAAGUAGGUCCCAAGGGUAUGGCUGUUCGCCAUUUAAAGUGGUACGCGAGCUGGGUUUAGAACGUCGUGAGACAGUUCGGUCCCUAUCUGCCGUGGGCGCUGGAGAAUUGAGGGGGGCUGCUCCUAGUACGAGAGGACCGGAGUGGACGCAUCACUGGUGUUCGGGUUGUCAUGCCAAUGGCACUGCCCGGUAGCUAAAUGCGGAAGAGAUAAGUGCUGAAAGCAUCUAAGCACGAAACUUGCCCCGAGAUGAGUUCUCCCUGAGAGAGAAG
Molecule: ribosomal RNA, 2807 nt
Filed under: Klebsiella quasipneumoniae
Lineage: Bacteria; Pseudomonadati; Pseudomonadota; Gammaproteobacteria; Enterobacterales; Enterobacteriaceae
Description: bacterial LSU rRNA
Rfam family: Bacterial large subunit ribosomal RNA
Source: RNAcentral